This 550-nucleotide ribosomal RNA is filed under the name Vibrio parahaemolyticus. Its description in RNAcentral is "partial 23S ribosomal RNA". Lineage: Bacteria; Pseudomonadati; Pseudomonadota; Gammaproteobacteria; Vibrionales; Vibrionaceae. The record is from RNAcentral.
UGGACGUAUCAGAAGUGCGAAUGCUGACAUGAGUAACGAUAAAGGGGGUGAAAAACCUCCUCGCCGGAAGACCAAGGGUUCCUGUCCAACGUUAAUCGGGGCAGGGUAAGUCGACCCCUAAGGCGAGGCCGAAAGGCGUAGUCGAUGGGAAACGGGUUAAUAUUCCCGUACUUCUUACAAUUGCGAUGGGGGGACGGAGAAGGCUAGGUGGGCCUGGCGACGGUUGUCCAGGUUCAAGUGCGUAGGCUUGAGAGUUAGGUAAAUCCGGCUCUUUCUAAGGCWGAGACACGACGUCGAGCAUCUACGGRUGUGAAGUCAUUGAUGCCAUGCUUCCAGGAAAAGCCUCUAAGCUUCAGAUUGUAAGGAAUCGUACCCCAAACCGACACAGGUGGUCGGGUAGAGAAUACCAAGGCGCUUGAGAGAACUCGGGUGAAGGAACUAGGCAAAAUGGUACCGUAACUUCGGGAGAAGGUACGCUCUUGAUGGUGAAGUCCCUUGCGGAUGGAGCUGACGAGAGUCGCAGAUACCAGGUGGCUGCAACUGUUUAUUA